Molecule: ribosomal RNA, 207 nt
Filed under: uncultured bacterium
Lineage: Bacteria
Description: partial 16S ribosomal RNA
Rfam family: Bacterial small subunit ribosomal RNA
Source: RNAcentral
CGCGUAGGUGGCUUGUCAGGUCCGAUGUGAAAUUCUGGGGCUCAACUCCAGGCGUGCAUCGGAAACCGGCUUGCUAGAGUCUGGGAGAGGAGAGUGGAAUUCCUGGUGUAGCGGUGAAAUGCGUAGAUAUCAGGAGGAACACCGGUAGCGAAGGCGGCUCUCUGGAACAGUACUGACACUGAGGCGCGAAAGCUAGGGGAGCGAACA